GGCUAAGAUCAAGUGUAGUAUCUGUUCUUAUCAGUUUAAUAUCUGAUAUGUGGGCCAUGCGCCCACUUCGAUAUUAAAUUUAUUUUUUGUGGGGGAGGGUCCACCACAGUGGCUUGCCACUGGGGCCCUCGAGCGUCGCUCGGGCGUUGCACUACAGCCCGAGCCUGGCGCACCCCAACCAAGCCGAAAUAAAUGUUUUGUACUGGGCCUUGGUAAAGGGCCUCUUGAGGUUUCCGUCGGUUGGGCAUUUGUACGGGGCACCCUUGUUUCAUUUGGCGUGGGUUCGUUGUGCCGGCAACAAGUGAUGUGCUAGCAACCCGAUAUGCCUGCAGCCCCGGUCUGCGCUACCGCUCUCUCGAGUCUCGACGACGCGCUGCUCAUCCACAAGACUGUAGGAGAAAGGGGCGUUCUGGGUGCGCGCAAUUGUUCGUGAAGAACACGGCGACAUAGCAACAUCGGCUGAAGCCAAUGGCGCUUACUUGGCUGGCUGGCGCAGCGACAGAACGGCCGAGUGGGAGAGCUGCACGCGAGGUGCUCGACGAAAUGGCCAGAGGCCCACUCAAGGCGCGUCCCGCUGGCGGUGGUGUACGCCAAACUGAGCAGUCUUUUUUUUUUCUUGAGCAUGAAUGUAGCUUUCAGCAGUUUGACGUGUGAAUGUGUUAUUGCAGGAAGGCCAGCUGCGGGAGAGUAGAAUUAUUAACUCCAAGUGAUCCUGAUCCUUGUGAUCCUUUCUGCGAGUUAUCUCUGACGGAGCCAGCUAGAUUGCGCUGUUAAGCACUAUUACCGUGCUGAUUAAUGGUAAGUUCACAUUUGAACCGUUGAAAAGGUGUGCUUUGUUGCUUUCACCUUACAUUUCUACUUGGGUCGCAUUAUCCUUGAUUUAGUAUUUAUUCAUGGGUUCCAUAUCAAAAUACCAUCCGUAAAACAAUGGUUGAAAAGAGAUGGAAUACAGAAAGAUCGUAUAUUAAGAUUACACAAACACAUAUACAUACACACUUCAGGAAACUGUGGCACAAAACAGAUAUACAUACACACUUCAGGAAACUGUGGCACAAACAUGUUCAGAGAGGUGUUUGCACAGCGUGUUCCCCACCUUCCGAGAGAAUAAGGUGCCUGUGAACUACGAAACAAAACAUCGUGUACAUAUUUUGCAUGUAUUGAUGCUUGUGGAGAAGUUAGACAGAUUUGACGACAUAGGACAAAGGUCACAGGGAGCAGGAAUGGAAAGGAAAAACAAUCCUUCCUUUCACACACAUUCAUGGUUAGGCGUCACUUUUUUUUACAGUCAACUAGUUCCUGAACAACAUAAAGAAAACAUUAAACAGGCAUUGUCGGCAUUGAUGUUGCCUUUCCUUUUCCCUUUGAGAACGACAAUGGCUAAUGGAUAACAAAUAUGUCUGCAUUCAUAAUCUUUUGACAGAAACUGGAAAAACUUGUCUGCAUUCUAAUGGGACCAAAUUUUGUUACAAUAAUAUACACCAGUUGCUAUGCUGCAGUUGAACCAUUGGCUAAAAUAAAAUUGAUUUAAGGUUACCUAACUACUGAUGUUGUCAGCAAAGAUUGGGAUAAGUGCUAAGUCAGCUAGGACCAUAUUCUUUAUGGACAUCACUGAUGUGAAACGACAGGGGGCUAAUUCUUUAUGGAUGCUUGUUUGACAGGCUUUCUUCAGUCAUUGUUUUUUUUUCUUCAGUCGUUGUUCUUCCAUGUUGUGCUUAAGUUAAAAGCUCAAGGACUUUCUAACUGAAGUGUGACAUGGCACUGAGUAGUAAGUUGUUUUAACACAGCUGCACAAGGAUACUACAAUAACUUUCUGCAAGCAUUUCGAUGGUUUUAAGUUGUCUUUCCAUUUAAGACGGAAAGCUUCUUUACUUGAACAUAUUGAAAAUUUGGUGGUUCUCAUA
This is a long non-coding RNA of Setaria italica (foxtail millet), 1901 nucleotides long. RefSeq lists it as uncharacterized. Lineage: Eukaryota; Viridiplantae; Streptophyta; Magnoliopsida; Poales; Poaceae. The transcript is spliced from 2 exons. The record is from RefSeq and is a predicted model, not a curated record.